UAAUACGGGGGGAGCAAGCGUUGUUCGGAUUCAUUGGGCGUAAAGAGCUCGUAGGCGGCUCCGUAAGUCGAGGGUGAAAUACAACGGCUCAACCGUUGAAACGCCUUCGAAACUACGGAGCUUGAGGUCGGGAGAGGAAAGCGGAAUUCCUGGAGUAGCGGUGAAAUGCGUAGAUAUCAGGAAGAACACCGGUGGCGAAGGCGGCUUUCUGGACCAAACCUGACGCUGAGGAGCGAAAGCUAGGGGAGCAAACAGGAUUAGAUACCCUGGUAGUCCUAGCCGUAAACGAUGGGCACUAGGUGUGGGAGGAUCGACCCCUUCCGUGCCGCCGUUAACGCAUUAAGUGCCCCGCCUGGGGAGUACGACCGCAAGGUUU
This 376-nucleotide ribosomal RNA is filed under the name uncultured Latescibacterota bacterium. Its description in RNAcentral is "bacterial SSU rRNA". It matches the Rfam family "Bacterial small subunit ribosomal RNA", at positions 521 to 896 of the family's 1533-position model. The record is from RNAcentral. Lineage: Bacteria; Pseudomonadati; Candidatus Latescibacterota.